This 530-nucleotide ribosomal RNA is filed under the name uncultured Diversisporaceae. Its description in RNAcentral is "SSU rRNA". It matches the Rfam family "Eukaryotic small subunit ribosomal RNA", at positions 548 to 1078 of the family's 1831-position model. Lineage: Eukaryota; Fungi; Glomeromycota; Glomeromycetes; Diversisporales. The record is from RNAcentral.
UUGGAGGGCAAGUCUGGUGCCAGCAGCCGCGGUAAUUCCAGCUCCAAUAGCGUAUAUUAAAGUUGUUGCAGUUAAAAAGCUCGUAGUUGAACUUCGGAAUUUGCCCAUUGGUCAGGCUUAACUGUUUGCACUGGUGUGCCGAGUUCCUACCUUCUGAGGAAUCUCCAUGUCAUUCAGUUGGUGUGGGGGGAAUCAGGACUGUUACUUUGAAAAAAUUAGAGUGUUUAAAGCAGGCAUCCGUCUGAAUACAUUAGCAUGGAAUAAUAAAAUAGGACGGUUUGGUUCUAUUUCGUUGGUUUCUAGGAUCACCGUAAUGAUUAAUAGGGAUAGUUGGGGGCAUUAGUAUUCAAUUGUCAGAGGUGAAAUUCUUGGAUUUAUUGAAGACUAACUACUGCGAAAGCAUUUGCCAAGGAUGUUUUCAUUAAUCAAGAACGAAAGUUAGGGGAUCGAAGACGAUCAGAUACCGUCGUAGUCUUAACCAUAAACUAUGCCGACUAGGGAUCGGACGAAGUUAAUUUUUUAAUGACUCG